Molecule: ribosomal RNA, 484 nt
Filed under: uncultured bacterium
Lineage: Bacteria
Description: partial 16S ribosomal RNA
Rfam family: Bacterial small subunit ribosomal RNA
Source: RNAcentral
AUUGAACGCUGGCGGCAGGCCUAACACAUGCAAGUCGAGCGGAUGAAGGGAGCUUGCUCCUGGAUUCAGCGGCGGACGGGUGAGUAAUGCCUAGGAAUCUGCCUGGUAGUGGGGGAUAACGUCCGGAAACGGGCGCUAAUACCGCAUACGUCCUGAGGGAGAAAGUGGGGGAUCUUCGGACCUCACGCUAUCAGAUGAGCCUAGGUCGGAUUAGCUAGUUGGUGGGGUAAAGGCCUACCAAGGCGACGAUCCGUAACUGGUCUGAGAGGAUGAUCAGUCACACUGGAACUGAGACACGGUCCAGACUCCUACGGGAGGCAGCAGUGGGGAAUAUUGGACAAUGGGCGAAAGCCUGAUCCAGCCAUGCCGCGUGUGUGAAGAAGGUCUUCGGAUUGUAAAGCACUUUAAGUUGGGAGGAAGGGCAGUAAGUUAAUACCUUGCUGUUUCGACGCUACCAACAGUAUAAGCACCGGCUAACUUCGUG